UACGGAGGGUGCGAGCGUUGUCCGGAAUCACUGGGCGUAAAGGGCGCGUAGGCGGCUUCCUAAGGGGGCGGUGAAAGCCCGGGGCUCAACCCCGGGUCGGCCGUGCCGACUGGGAGGCUGGAGCACUGUAGAGGCGGGUGGAAUUCCGGGUGUAGCGGUGGAAUGCGUAGAGAUCCGGAAGAACACCGGUGGCGAAGGCGGCCCGCUGGGCAGUGGCUGACGCUGAGGCGCGACAGCGUGGGGAGCAAACAGG
RNAcentral lists this ribosomal RNA (253 nucleotides) under uncultured bacterium. Its description in RNAcentral is "partial 16S ribosomal RNA". It matches the Rfam family "Bacterial small subunit ribosomal RNA", at positions 524 to 776 of the family's 1533-position model. The record is from RNAcentral.